GAUGAACGCUGGCGGCGUGCCUAAUACAUGCAAGUCGAGCGAACGGACGAGAAGCUUGCUUCUCUGAUGUUAGCGGCGGACGGGUGAGUAACACGUGGAUAACCUACCUAUAAGACAGGGAUAACUUCGGGAAACCGUAGCUAAUACCGGAUAAUAUUUUGAACCGCAUGGUUCAAAAGUGAAAGACGGUCUUGCUGUCACUUAUAGAUGGAUCCGCGCUGCAUUAGCUAGUUGGUAAGGUAACGGCUUACCAAGGCAACGAUGCAUAGCCGACCUGAGAGGGUGAUCGGCCACACUGGAACUGAGACACGGUCCAGACUCCUACGGGAGGCAGCAGUAGGGAAUCUUCCGCAAUGGGCGAAAGCCUGACGGAGCAACGCCGCGUGAGUGAUGAAGGUCUUCGGAUCGUAAAACUCCGUUAUUAGGGAAGAACAUAUGUGUAAGUAACUGUGCACAUCUUGACGGUACCUAAUCAGAAAGCCACGGCUAACUACGUG
Molecule: ribosomal RNA, 497 nt
Filed under: uncultured bacterium
Lineage: Bacteria
Description: partial 16S ribosomal RNA
Rfam family: Bacterial small subunit ribosomal RNA
Source: RNAcentral